AGUGAACGCUGGCGGUAGGCCUAACACAUGCAAGUCGAACGGCAGCACAGUAAGAGUUUGCUCUUACGGGUGGCGAGUGGCGGACGGGUGAGGAAUACAUCGGAAUCUACUUUUUCGGGUGGGUUAACGUAGGGAAACUUACGCUAAUACCGCAUACGACCUAUGGGUGAAAGCAGGGGAUCUUCGGACCUUGCGCGAUUGAAUGAGCCGAUUUCGGAUUAGCUAGUUGGCGGGGUAAAGGCCCACCAAGGCGACGAUCCGUAGCUGGUCUGAGAGGAUGAUCAGCCACACUGGAACUGGGCCACGGACCAGACUCCUACGGGAGGCAGCAGUAGGGAAUAUUGGACAAUGGGCGCAAGCCUGAUCCAGCGAUACCACGCGGGUGAAGAAAACCUUCGGGUUGUAAAGCCCUUUUGUUGGGAAAGAAAAGCAGCAGGUUAAUACCCCGCUGUUCUGACGGUACCCAAAAAAUAAGCACCGGCUAACUACGUG
RNAcentral lists this ribosomal RNA (492 nucleotides) under uncultured bacterium. Its description in RNAcentral is "partial 16S ribosomal RNA". It matches the Rfam family "Bacterial small subunit ribosomal RNA", at positions 29 to 507 of the family's 1533-position model. The record is from RNAcentral.